CAACAUGAAGGCCAGCUCACUGGAGUCCACGAUGUGAUGUCCACCGUCUUGCAGGCGGAAUCGAAUGCCGGAUAGCUUGUGGCCGGAGAGCAUUCCCUUCUCAGCCAUUUCUCUGUAACCUGAUGAUAAAACAAUGUAUUAAAACACAAAGAAGUGGAGAUAAUAAAGCUGUUCGACGGAUUUGCUGAGCAGACCCCACUGUCACUAAAAGUCUUAAGAAAAAACCGAAAGACCCAUUGCGUGCACCUGUUGAGUGGUUAUGAUUUUUUUUGGGAAUUUCUCUUCAAGGAGAGUUUUCGCAUAUAGAGGAAGCUUCUCGAUGAGUUAGAGGAGCAGUGGCAAGGCCUCCAAGAUUAGAACACCGACCUUAUGAACUCGUUUCUUUUGGAUAUGCGGGACUGUUUUAAUGAUGUGGAAGAUUUUAGACGGAUUUCUUGCACAGAGUUGUAACGGGUGUUAGCUAUAAAGAACUACCUUCGAAUCACUCUUACCCACAAAAAGUUUUAAGAAACCCACAAAAUCUUAAAGGACUUCCGCAAUGUGUUGGGGCAAUCGAUGGAUCCGUUGACUAUCACAACAAUGAAGGAUGGUAUUCAACAGUCCUCCCUGUGACGGUUGACGUUGACUACAUGUUAGAACACUUUCAGGCAUAUUUACUGAAUUUUUUGUUGGUAUACCAUUGGUAUACAAUGUGGGCUGUCCGGGUCGAUGUGACGAUUCCGAAAUUUAUAAGAAUUACCUUAAAAACACUUGUAGAUAAUACUAAUCUAUUUCGAGGAACUAAACUAGACAAAACUAUAAAUAUUCCCUUGGCUUGUAUCAGUGCGAUUUCGGAAAGCUGGUCAAGCGUAGUCGCUGAAGUCCACAACCUGAACUAACAAAUUGUUCUCAUGACUGUCAAUACACAGGAAACCAUUCGAAAAGCUAUUACAACUUAUUAAAAUAACAAAUUUUAUAAUGUUUAUAU
Long non-coding RNA from Drosophila subpulchrella, 967 nucleotides. RefSeq lists it as uncharacterized. The transcript has 4 exons. The record is from RefSeq and is a predicted model, not a curated record. Lineage: Eukaryota; Metazoa; Arthropoda; Insecta; Diptera; Drosophilidae.